This 492-nucleotide ribosomal RNA is filed under the name uncultured bacterium. RNAcentral's name for it is "partial 16S ribosomal RNA". It matches the Rfam family "Bacterial small subunit ribosomal RNA", at positions 29 to 507 of the family's 1533-position model. The record is from RNAcentral.
AGUGAACGCUGGCGGUAGGCCUAACACAUGCAAGUCGAACGGCAGCACAGUAAGAGCUUGCUCUUACGGGUGGCGAGUGGCGGACGAGUGAGGAAUACAUCGGAAUCUACUUUUUCGUGGGGGAUAACGUAGGGAAACUUACGCUAAUACCGCAUACGACCUACGGGUGAAAGCAGGGGAUCUUCGGACCUUGCGCGAUUGAAUGAGCCGAUGUCGGAUUAGCUAGUUGGCGGGGUAAAGGCCCACCAAGGCGACGAUCCGUAGCUGGUCUGAGAGGAUGAUCCGCCACACUUGAACUGAGACACGGUCCAGACUCCUACGGGAGGCAGCAGUGGGGAAUAUUGGACAAUGGGCGCAAGCCUGAUCCAGCCAUACCGCGUGGGUGAAGAAGGCCUUCGGGUUGUAAAGCCCUUUUGUUGGGAAAGAAAAGCAGCAGGUUAAUACCCCGCUGUUCUGACGGUACCCAAAGAAUAAGCACCGGCUAACUUCGUG